This 434-nucleotide ribosomal RNA is filed under the name uncultured bacterium. Its description in RNAcentral is "bacterial SSU rRNA". It matches the Rfam family "Bacterial small subunit ribosomal RNA", at positions 958 to 1392 of the family's 1533-position model. The record is from RNAcentral.
AACGCGAAGAACCUUACCUACCCUUGACAUGUACGGAACCUUUAAGAGAUUAGAGGGUGCUCGAAAGAGAGCCGUAACACAGGUGCUGCAUGGCUGUCGUCAGCUCGUGUCGUGAGAUGUUGGGUUAAGUCCCGCAACGAGCGCAACCCUUGUCAUUAGUUGCUACAUUUAGUUGAGCACUCUAAUGAGACUGCCGGUGACAAACCGGAGGAAGGUGGGGAUGACGUCAAGUCCUCAUGGCCCUUAUGGGUAGGGCUUCACACGUCAUACAAUGGUACAUACAGAGGGUUGCCAACCCGCGAGGGGGAGCUAAUCCCAGAAAGUGUAUCGUAGUCCGGAUUGGAGUCUGCAACUCGACUCCAUGAAGUUGGAAUCGCUAGUAAUCGCGGAUCAGCAUGUCGCGGUGAAUACGUUCCCGGGCCUUGUACACACCG